GACGAACGCUGGCGGCGUGCUUAACACAUGCAAGUCGAACGGAAAGGCCCUGCUUUUGUGGGGUGCUCGAGUGGCGAACGGGUGAGUAACACGUGAGUAACCUGCCCUUGACUUUGGGAUAACUUCAGGAAACUGGGGCUAAUACCGGAUAGGAGCUCCUGCUGCAUGGUGGGGGUUGGAAAGUUUCGGCGGUUGGGGAUGGACUCGCGGCUUAUCAGCUUGUUGGUGGGGUAGUGGCUUACCAAGGCUUUGACGGGUAGCCGGCCUGAGAGGGUGACCGGCCACAUUGGGACUGAGAUACGGCCCAGACUCCUACGGGAGGAAGAAGUGGGGAAUAUUGCACAAUGGGCGGAAGCCUGAUGCAGCAACGCCGCGUGCGGGAUGACGGCCUUCGGGUUGUAACCCGCUUUCGCCUGUGACGAAGCGUGAGUGACGGUAAUGGGUAAAGAAGCACGGGCUAACUACGUG
Molecule: ribosomal RNA, 468 nt
Filed under: uncultured bacterium
Lineage: Bacteria
Description: partial 16S ribosomal RNA
Rfam family: Bacterial small subunit ribosomal RNA
Source: RNAcentral